GCUGGUGUAGCUCAGUCGGUAGUAGCGCAUCCAUGGUAAGGAUGAGGUCGCAGGUUCGAUUCCUGUCACCAGCA
The sequence is a transfer RNA, 74 nucleotides long. It matches the Rfam family "tRNA". From Rfam's summary of the family: Transfer RNA (tRNA) molecules are approximately 80 nucleotides in length. Their secondary structure includes four short double-helical elements and three loops (D, anti-codon, and T loops). The record is from Rfam.